AUUGAACGCUGGCGGCAGGCCUAACACAUGCAAGUCGAGCGAGCGGCGGACGGGUGAGUAAUGUCUGGGAAACUGCCUGCUGGAGGGGGGUAACUACUGGAAACGGUUGCUAAUACCGCAUACUAUCGGAUGUGCCCCUAUGGGAUUAGCUAGUGGGUGGGGUAACGGCUCACCUAGGCGACGAGCCCUAGCUGGUCUGAGAGGAUGACCAGCCACACGGGAACUGAGACACGGUCCAGACUCCUACGGGAGGCAGCAGUGGGGAAUAUUGCACAAUGGGCGCAAGCCUGAUGCAGCCAUGCCGCGUGUGUGAAGAAGGCCUUCGGGUUGUAAAGCACUUUCAGCGGGGAGGCGUUACCCGCAGAAGAAGCACCGGCUAACUCCGUGCCAGCAGCCGCGGUAAUUC
RNAcentral lists this ribosomal RNA (406 nucleotides) under uncultured bacterium. RNAcentral describes it as "partial 16S ribosomal RNA". It matches the Rfam family "Bacterial small subunit ribosomal RNA", at positions 30 to 526 of the family's 1533-position model. The record is from RNAcentral.